This 254-nucleotide ribosomal RNA is filed under the name uncultured bacterium. RNAcentral describes it as "partial 16S ribosomal RNA". It matches the Rfam family "Bacterial small subunit ribosomal RNA", at positions 524 to 776 of the family's 1533-position model. The record is from RNAcentral.
UACGUAGGGUGCAAGCGUUGUCCGGAAUUAUUGGGCGUAAAGAGCUCGUAGGCGGCUCAGUAAGUCGGGUGUGAAACCCCCAGGCUCAACCUGGGGACGCCACCCGAUACUGCUGUGGCUAGAGUCCAGUAGGGGAGUGUGGAAUUCCCGGUGUAGCGGUGAAAUGCGCAGAUAUCGGGAGGAACACCAGCGGCGAAGGCGGCACUCUGGGCUGGAACUGACGCUGAGGAGCGAAAGCGUGGGGAGCAAACAGG